Molecule: transfer RNA, 73 nt
Filed under: Merluccius polli (Benguela hake)
Lineage: Eukaryota; Metazoa; Chordata; Actinopteri; Gadiformes; Merlucciidae
Rfam family: tRNA
About the family: Transfer RNA (tRNA) molecules are approximately 80 nucleotides in length. Their secondary structure includes four short double-helical elements and three loops (D, anti-codon, and T loops).
Source: Rfam by way of RNAcentral
GGGGGAUUAGCUCAAAUGGUAGAGCGCUCGCUUAGCAUGCGAGAGGUAGCGGGAUCGAUGACCCCAUCCUCCA